GACGAACGCUGGCGGCGUGCUUAACACAUGCAAGUCGAACGGAAAGGCCCUGCUUGCUGGGUGCUCGAGUGGCGAACGGGUGAGUAACACGUGGGUGAUCUGCCCCUUACUUUGGGAUAAGCCUGAGAAACUGGGUCUAAUACUGGAUAGAAGCAUGCUGUAGGGGGUGUGGUGGAAAGAUUAUUGUCGGUGAGGGAUGAGCUCGCGGCCUAUCAGCUUGUUGGGGGGGUAGUGGCCUAACGAGGCGGCGACGGGUGGCCGGCCUGAGUGUGUGGGCGGCCACACGGAGAGUGAGACACGGCAGAGUCUCAUGCGGGGGAGAACUGUGGAAUAUAGUACAAAGUGGGCAAGAGCGAGGUACCGCGGCGGCGCGUGGGGGGUGAGGGCCUGCGGGUUGUACUCCUCUCUCCAAUGACGAGGACCGCGAGUGACGGUAGUUGUAGAAGAAGCACCGGCUAACUACGUG
This 466-nucleotide ribosomal RNA is filed under the name uncultured bacterium. Its description in RNAcentral is "partial 16S ribosomal RNA". It matches the Rfam family "Bacterial small subunit ribosomal RNA", at positions 28 to 507 of the family's 1533-position model. The record is from RNAcentral.